GCUCAGCCGGGGGGCGGCGGCGGCGGCGGCUCCGGGGAUGGCGGCGGCUCCACUGCUGCUGCUGCUGCUGCUUGUGCCCGUGCCGCUGCUGCCGCUGCUGGCCCAAGGGCCCGGGGGGGCGCUGGGAAACCGGCAUGCGGUGUACUGGAACAGCUCCAACCAGCACCUGCGGCGAGAGGGCUACACAGUGCAGGUGAAUGUGAACGAUUAUCUGGAUAUUUACUGCCCGCACUACAACAGCUCAGGGGUGGGCCCGGGGGCGGGGCCAGGGCCCGGAGGCGGGGCGGAGCAGUACGUGCUGUAUAUGGUGAGCCGGGCAGGCUACCGCACCUGCAACGCCAGCCAAGGCUUCAAGCGCUGGGAGUGCAACCGACCGCACGCUCCCCACAGCCCCAUCAAGUUCUCGGAGAAGUUCCAGCGCUACAGCGCCUUCUCUCUGGGCUACGAGUUCCACGCGGGCCACGAGUACUACUACAUCUCCACGCCCACCCACAAUCUGCACUGGAAGUGUCUGAGGAUGAAGGUGUUCGUCUGCUGCGCCUCCACAUCGCACUCCGGGGAGAAGCCGGUCCCCACUCUCCCCCAGUUCACCAUGGGCCCCAAUGUGAAGAUCAACGUGCUGGGCUGAGAGUUUGUGGGUGCUGUAGCCGCACAUAACAACAGCACCCUACAUCCAUCAGGAGAGUGAGGGGACAGAAGGAAGAAGACGGGACAGUGGCUGAAGCCGUCAAAGGUCACAGCCCCACCUAAGCCCAGUGAGGGUGAAAAACUGCAGCCACAACAAACAACUCAGAACAGAUUUUGGCUGGUGGAGUGACGUUCAGAGCCAGCCGCGUCCUCCCCUUCUGGACACGAGGCACCACAUCUUCCCCGGGGGCAGCCAGGAAGCAAAGGAAAAAAAGCGUGAAUACCCACCUUCAUGAGAGAGCCCAGCCCCGGCAUCUGUUCCAGUUCUGUUCCAAGACAGCCUCACUACUGAACACCAAGGAGCCUUCAUCUUUUGCUUUUUGUAAUUUUUUUUUUUUUGAGAGCUGAAUACAACAGCUAGACUUAUAGAUUGCCACUCCCUUUAACAUUUCUAUUUAAUCAGGCUACAUUUGGGGUGCCUUUCCAUUAUUCACACUAAUCAAGUGUUUUUUCCAUACCCAGUUUUGAGCUCCCCGUUAUCCAUCUCAGAAACCACUACAGGGAAUGGUGCCCAGUUGCCAGAGUGUCACCAUCCCUCAUCACUCAGAUGCCAGGAAAUUUCAUAAUAAAGACAAACUUACCACAGGCCAUCUUGCCCUCCCACAAAAGCUGUCCCCAAACAAAGGGUUUCCUAACAAGAUAAACAUUAUGUAUCAGAACUACAAUAACAUAAUACCACAUUUUCUUCAAAUUAGAUUUUGAAUUCCACCAAUUCCAAAUCAGCGCACUCAACACUCUAAAUGAGGCAAACUUCAAAGAGUAGGAAAUAAAAAUAUCUUAAAGUGUGAUGGCUUUUACCAAAUUAGGUCUGUGCCAAUGCAGAGCCUUUAUUUUCUGCAAAGUAACCCUCUUUAAAAAAACAAAAACAGAAACACAGUUUAAUUCAGCAAACAUUGACUGAGAGCCCACUCUGGGCACAGAGCUGCAGGGAAGACGUUGAGAGCCAAGUCGGUUCUGGUCCUCAAAGGAUGUGUGACGGGAGCGGACACUUAUUCAGCUAAAUUUCAGAAAGGAAGGAACAAAGUAAACAUUGUAAAAGACAAAAUGUCAUGGGGGCCCAGAAGAGGGAGUGAUUAAUUCGCACUGUGGGGAGGUGGUACUGAGCCAGCUGGGAAGGAUGACUAGGGUUUUGACAGCUGGUGAAGGCAUCCAGGCAGAGGGAACAGCUCAAGCAAAGGUAGAAGGCCGUGAUGUGCGGGAGUACUAAUCAUCAUCAUCUAAUUGAUCAAAAUGUGUAUUGCGACAUUCUAAUUAUUAUAUGUUGCCAAAUAUUA
Aethalodelphis obliquidens (Pacific white-sided dolphin) is the source of this 1961-nucleotide RNA transcript. It is a transcript of the gene named ephrin A3, with no coding region annotated. The transcript has 7 exons. NCBI's taxonomy places the organism in Eukaryota, Metazoa, Chordata, Mammalia, Artiodactyla, Delphinidae. The record is from RefSeq and is a predicted model, not a curated record.